CCCUACGGGGUGCAGCAGGCGAGAAAACUUUGCAAUGUGCGAAAGCACGACAAGGUUAAUCCGAGUGGUUUCUGCUAAAGGAACCUUUUGUCAGUCCUAGAAACACUGACGAAUAAGGGGUGGGCAAGUUCUGGUGUCAGCCGCCGCGGUAAAACCAGCACCUCAAGUGGUCAGGAUGAUUAUUGGGCCUAAAGCAUCCGUAGCCGGCUCUGUAAGUUUUCGGUUAAAUCUGUACGCUCAACGUACAGGCUGCCGGGAAUACUGCAGAGCUAGGGAGUGGGAGAGGUAGACGGUACUCGGUAGGAAGGGGUAAAAUCCUUUGAUCUAUUGAUGACCACCUGUGGCGAAGGCGGUCUACCAGAACACGUCCGACGGUGAGGGAUGAAAGCUGGGGGAGCAAACCGGAUUAGAUACCCGGGUAGUCCCAGCUGUAAACUAUGCAAACUCAGUGAUGCAUUGGCUUGUGGCCAAUGCAGUGCUGCAGGGAAGCCGUUAAGUUUGCCGCCUGGGAAGUACGUACGCAAGUAUGAAACUUAAAGGAAUUGGCGGGGGAGCACCACAAGGGGUGAAGCCUGCGGUUCAAUUGGAGUCAACGCCAGAAAUCUUACCCGGAGAGACAGCAGAAUGAAGGUCAAGCUGAAGACUUUACCAGACAAGCUGAG
RNAcentral lists this ribosomal RNA (662 nucleotides) under uncultured archaeon. RNAcentral's name for it is "bacterial SSU rRNA". It matches the Rfam family "Archaeal small subunit ribosomal RNA", at positions 321 to 984 of the family's 1478-position model. The record is from RNAcentral.